GGAUGCGAUCAUACCAGCACUAAAGCACCGGAUCCCAUCAGAACUCCGAAGUUAAGCGUUCUUGGGCGAGAGUAGUACUAGGAUGGGUGACCUCCUGGGAAGUCCUCGUGUUGCAUUCC
Molecule: ribosomal RNA, 119 nt
Filed under: Setaria viridis
Lineage: Eukaryota; Viridiplantae; Streptophyta; Magnoliopsida; Poales; Poaceae
Also listed under: 3 other names
Source: RNAcentral